CACGAAGACAGGUGCUGCAUGGUUGUCGUCAGCUCGUGUCGUGAGAUGUUAGGUUAAGUCCUGCAACGAGCGCAACCCUCAUAUACAGUUGCCAUCAUUCAGUUGGGAACUCUGUAUAGACUGCCGUGGUUAACACGGAGGAAGGUGGGGAUGACGUCAAAUCAUCACGGCCCUUACGGCCUGGGCUACACACGUGCUACAAUGGCUAUUACAAAGAGUUGCAAUAUGGUAACAUGGAGCGAAUCUCAAAAAGAUAGUCUCAGUUCGGACUGUGGGCUGCAACCCGCCCACACGAAGUCGGAGUUGCUAGUAAUCCCGAAUCAGCAUGUCGGGGUGAAUGCGUUCCCGGGUCUUGUACACACCGCCCGUCAAGCCAUGGGAGUCGGGAGUGCCCGAAGUCGGUGACCUAACCGUAAGGAAGGAGCCGCCUAAGGUAAUACCGAUGACUGGGGUUAAGUCGUAACAAGG
This 468-nucleotide ribosomal RNA is filed under the name uncultured bacterium. RNAcentral's name for it is "bacterial SSU rRNA". It matches the Rfam family "Bacterial small subunit ribosomal RNA", at positions 1027 to 1496 of the family's 1533-position model. The record is from RNAcentral.